This 244-nucleotide ribosomal RNA is filed under the name uncultured bacterium. RNAcentral describes it as "partial 16S ribosomal RNA". It matches the Rfam family "Bacterial small subunit ribosomal RNA", at positions 1261 to 1500 of the family's 1533-position model. The record is from RNAcentral.
UGGGAUGCGAAUCUCGAAAGCCUGUCUCAGUUCGGAUUGGAGUCUGCAACCCGACUCCAUGAAGCUGGAUUCGCUAGUAAUCGCGCAUCAGCCACGGCGCGGUGAAUACGUUCCCGGGCCUUGUACACACCGCCCGUCACACCAUGGAAGUCUGCAAUGCCCGAAGCCGGUGGCCUAACCACUUAUGUGGAAGGAGCCGUCUAAGGCAGGGCAGAUGACUGGGGUGAAGUCGUAACAAGGUAGC